UACCCGCGGUCCAAGUCGCAGCCAUCAUUAUUGGGUCUAAAACAUCCGUAGCUUGCUUAGUAAGUUUCUUGUGAAAUUCUAUAUCUCAAAUAUAGAGCGGGCAAGAAGUACUGUUAAGCUAGAGACUGGAAGACGUAAGAAGUACGUUUGGAGUAGCGGUAAAAUGUGUUAAUCCCAGACGGACUAACAACAGCGAAGGCAUCUUACGAGGACAGUUCUGACAGUAAGGGAUGAAGGCUAGGGGCGCGAAAGG
RNAcentral lists this ribosomal RNA (253 nucleotides) under uncultured archaeon. RNAcentral describes it as "partial 16S ribosomal RNA". It matches the Rfam family "Archaeal small subunit ribosomal RNA", at positions 474 to 726 of the family's 1478-position model. The record is from RNAcentral.